Spinacia oleracea (spinach) is the source of this 3018-nucleotide long non-coding RNA. RefSeq lists it as uncharacterized. The transcript is spliced from 6 exons. The record is from RefSeq and is a predicted model, not a curated record. Lineage: Eukaryota; Viridiplantae; Streptophyta; Magnoliopsida; Caryophyllales; Amaranthaceae.
CGCUCCCCUAUCAUUCUCGCAUACUUUCUCUCUCCUUCUCUCAAACCCUCAAAUCUUCGAUCACUCAAAUCUCCAUCUCCUUCGAUCUUCCUCAAAUCUUCAUCUCCUUCGAUCUCCCACAAAUCUCCGAUCUCCUUCCCUCACAAAGGUAUUCAGUCGCCUCCAUCCUCAACCGCCGUCGCCACCGUUAUUUUCCCAAAUUGUCGUCAUCAGAGGGUGGCCGGGUUCCUCUCCCUUUCUCUCUCGCCUCCAUCGUGCGCUUCCGAUCUCUGCGGAUCACCGUCGUCGCCACCGUUAUUUUCCCAAAUUGUCGUCAUCAGAGGGUGGGUUCCUCUCCCUUUCUCUCUCGCCUCCAUCGUGCGCUUCCGAUCUCUGCGGAUCACCGCCGUCGCCACCAUUAUUUCCGAAGGUUCUUGAAAGUAUAGUUCCUGAGUUCCGACGAGGAUGGUUGUGAGUUUAGUCCGUUUGAUAUUACCACUACUAAGAAUGCUCCUAUUGAACGCCUCAAACGCUGGAGGUGAGAACGGGAUUGGAAGGUCCUGGACUGACUGCUGCUCAAAAUAUGUGGUACUGCAUUGCUGCAGUAGGGGGUCAGUAUAUUUGGACGCGGUUGCAGUCUUUUUCUGCUUUUCGUAGAUGGGGAGACUCUGAGCAGAGGACAUUUGGACAACGGGCAUGGCUUUUGUUGCAGCAUGUAGAAGGAUUCUAUAAGGCUGCAUCAUUUAGCAACCUGCUUUUAUUUCUCUUAACUGAAAAGACUACGGGUAUUACGGGCAAGAAACAAGGGGAAGUAGAAAAGGGGCAGAGGAGAUAUGAUAAUGGUAGUGGGGACUUUUAUACAGAGCCAUCAAUGUAGCUGGUGAAUCCAUCUCGAAUUUCAAAGAAAAACAAGGGCCAGAUAUCACCGAACGAGUUCAGCCCCGGGCUUUUGGAUCUUCACUCUCAUGAUGCUGAACUUCUCACUGAGGUGGUUGUUAAAUUAAUCUCCCUGUCUCUCUCAACGAUUUUUUUUGAUUAAGUAAUGUAUUAUAUAAUACUUAUUCAUAAACUACAUUAUUUGGUUAAAAAGUGAAAUUUAAGUAACUGGGAUGGUUCUUUAAAGAUGAGGAUGUUAUGUUGUAAUCACAUUGCAUAACAUCAGUUUGGUUUAUGCUAUGUGAAUUUCUGGUUCUUAAUAGAGAAACUGCCACCAGGACCAGAUUGAUUAGGCAUAAUCACACCUUUAACUAUAUCUCUUAAUACGACAUACCUUCUUCCAAUACCAACGGCUGUUCUUUGGUCGUUGGUAUAUCCACCUGUGCUUUGGUGGUUGGCUGUUCUUUAAUAGUUCAUCAAUGCCGAACUCUUUUUUGUUUUCAGUGAUUAGUUGUUGAUUAAUUUCAUUGAUAUAAUCACUUUAGUGCUGGCUUUAUGGAUUUUUUUUGCAAUUUGCAAGUAGUUAUGUUGGUAGAUGAGGAAAUUAUUGUAUGAUCUCAUCUCUGAUGUUGCAGUUUUAAGAAUGUUGCAAAAAUAUGAACAAUGUUAAUCUUUGAUUAUUCUUUGAAGUUCUUUUAAGAAGCUUUCUAUGUUGUUUUAUCAUGUAUCCUUUAUCAUUUAUUAUAGAUGGUUGUUUCAAAUAGGUGGACAAUGAAAAGCUAAAGCAUCUGAGAGGUCUUAAGUUCUUUAUGUGCAUACUGUUAGAGUGUUAGGCAAAAGUUCUUGGGAAGUCUGGACACAUGAAAUAGGUAAGCCUUUGACUGGAAAUUUUAGAUGGGAGAAGAUCAAUAAUAUGCAAGUUAAGUAGUACAAGGGAGAUAGGGAUUCUCAAGUAUUCAAGGUUGAUUCCCGAGUUUCAGCUCGCCUUUUCACUAACCUUCUCACAAUCCUUAAUACCUCUAUUUGUUUUCAUUAGAGUUCUGAAUGUGAUCAGACUGUCCACAAUCUUAACCCUUUAACCAAACUAAGCCUUUGAUUCCUUUUGCUCAAGUCUGGACACAUAAAAAGAGAACACGGGCUACUGAUGAUUCACAUAUAUCAGAGGUAUGCUAUUCUGACGCAAGUACUAACAAGAGUUUCAUACUCAACUUGUUGCACCUUUUAGGACUGCUUUAAAUGUAUUGUAUGUUUCAGUAUCUUUUUAUUUCCGUACUUUUUUUAAUUGGUUGAUAAAAUCAUAUGGUUUGACUAAAGCAUUGUUCAAUUAAAUGUUGUGGAUUGGUAUGGCCAAUACAGAUUUGUGGAGGAUUAGUACUAUUUUCUGCUUAAUUAUGGAUUAGUAGAAUAGAGAGAGGAUACAAACUCAGUACCUUUAACCUAAUGUUUUUCCCUUAAGAGAGUUAACUCAAAGAAGGCUUCUGAUUUUGGGAGCAGAUAUGAAUGUUCUGCACAUGAAAGAACUCAGAAAGCAUGUUCAUAUUUACAUAGUGUCACUCCCAGUUUGUUGGGACAAGAUGCAAGUAACUAGGGCUAUUUAUCAUCUUUUCUAAUCCUCAUCUUUUGUAUUUCUUUCUGAAUAUUCUUUCAUUCUUUUUUUUAUAUCCUAUUUUCACAAUCUUAAUCAAAGAUGCAGUUCUUAACUAUGAUAUUAUACAAACAAUGGAGCACCACAAAUGACACCAAAUCUGUUCUUCAAGACCCUUUAUGGAGUUCAUACCCAACUCAAGCUGAACAAGCAGUGCUGCAGUUGCCACCAUUUCCCUUCACAUCAAAGGAUCAACUCAAUUAAGUAUUGUAGGAUGAAUUUCCUUCAUGAGUGUUUUAGAUUUUUUCUUUUCUUUUUGUUGUAAUUUGCAUUUCUGAAAUAAUAAUACAAUGAUUCUCAUAUGGUCUGAAAUGAAAAUUGUAAUUCCCUCGAACUCAUGUGUGUGUAAGUUCAUUUUACUGGGAUUUUUUUUUCUUCUCCGUGUUGGGGUUUUGCGGUAGCAAAUUCAAGGUUUGAUUUACUCUUUUUGAAUCGAGUUCCGGGUUUGUAUUUGUAUUGUUUUCUUCUUUGAUUUGCCAAUAAAAUGUUGUGAAUGUUAUCACUGUGAUUUUGUCGAG